RNAcentral lists this ribosomal RNA (678 nucleotides) under Escherichia coli. Its description in RNAcentral is "partial 23S ribosomal RNA". It matches the Rfam family "Bacterial large subunit ribosomal RNA", at positions 296 to 984 of the family's 2925-position model. The record is from RNAcentral. Lineage: Bacteria; Pseudomonadati; Pseudomonadota; Gammaproteobacteria; Enterobacterales; Enterobacteriaceae.
GCCCAGAGCCUGAAUCAGUGUGUGUGUUAGUGGAAGCGUCUGGAAAGGCGCGCGAUACAGGGUGACAGCCCCGUACACAAAAAUGCACAUGCUGUGAGCUCGAUGAGUAGGGCGGGACACGUGGUAUCCUGUCUGAAUAUGGGGGGACCAUCCUCCAAGGCUAAAUACUCCUGACUGACCGAUAGUGAACCAGUACCGUGAGGGAAAGGCGAAAAGAACCCCGGCGAGGGGAGUGAAAAAGAACCUGAAACCGUGUACGUACAAGCAGUGGGAGCACGCUUAGGCGUGUGACUGCGUACCUUUUGUAUAAUGGGUCAGCGACUUAUAUUCUGUAGCAAGGUUAACCGAAUAGGGGAGCCGAAGGGAAACCGAGUCUUAACUGGGCGUUAAGUUGCAGGGUAUAGACCCGAAACCCGGUGAUCUAGCCAUGGGCAGGUUGAAGGUUGGGUAACACUAACUGGAGGACCGAACCGACUAAUGUUGAAAAAUUAGCGGAUGACUUGUGGCUGGGGGUGAAAGGCCAAUCAAACCGGGAGAUAGCUGGUUCUCCCCGAAAGCUAUUUAGGUAGCGCCUCGUGAAUUCAUCUCCGGGGGUAGAGCACUGUUUCGGCAAGGGGGUCAUCCCGACUUACCAACCCGAUGCAAACUGCGAAUACCGGAGAAUGUUAUCACGGGAGA